This 253-nucleotide ribosomal RNA is filed under the name uncultured bacterium. RNAcentral's name for it is "partial 16S ribosomal RNA". It matches the Rfam family "Archaeal small subunit ribosomal RNA", at positions 474 to 727 of the family's 1478-position model. The record is from RNAcentral.
UACCAGCACCCCGAGUGGUCGGGACGUUUAUUGGGCCUAAAGCAUCCGUAGCCGGUUCUACAAGUCUUCCGUUAAAUCCACCUGCUUAACAGAUGGGCUGCGGAAGAUACUAUGGAGCUAGGAGGCGGGAGAGGCAAGCGGUACUUUAUGGGUAGGGGUAAAAUCCUUUGAUCCAUAGAAGACCACCAGUGGCGAAGGCGGCUUGCCAGAACGCGCUCGACGGUGAGGGAUGAAAGCUGGGGGAGCAAACCGG